RNAcentral lists this microRNA (18 nucleotides) under Ictalurus punctatus (channel catfish). RNAcentral's name for it is "ipu-miR-7549". The record is from miRBase by way of RNAcentral. Lineage: Eukaryota; Metazoa; Chordata; Actinopteri; Siluriformes; Ictaluridae.
GAUCGGUGCAGCGGCGGC